This 209-nucleotide ribosomal RNA is filed under the name uncultured bacterium. RNAcentral's name for it is "partial 16S ribosomal RNA". It matches the Rfam family "Bacterial small subunit ribosomal RNA", at positions 1291 to 1500 of the family's 1533-position model. The record is from RNAcentral.
GUUCGGAUUGCAGGCUGCAACUCGCCUGCAUGAAGCUGGAAUUGCUAGUAAUCGCGGAUCAGCAAGCCGCGGUGAAUACGUUCCCGGGCCUUGUACACACCGCCCGUCACACCAUGAGAGUCGGGAACACCCGAAGUCCGUAGUCUAACCGCAAGGGGGCGCGGCCGAAGGUGGGUCCGGUAAUUGGGGUGAAGUCGUAACAAGGUAUC